This 497-nucleotide ribosomal RNA is filed under the name uncultured bacterium. Its description in RNAcentral is "partial 16S ribosomal RNA". It matches the Rfam family "Bacterial small subunit ribosomal RNA", at positions 28 to 507 of the family's 1533-position model. The record is from RNAcentral.
GAUGAACGCUGGCGGCGUGCCUAAUACAUGCAAGUCGAGCGAACAGACGAGGAGCUUGCUCCUCUGACGUUAGCGGCGGACGGGUGAGUAACACGUGGAUAACCUACCUAUAAGACUGGGAUAACUUCGGGAAACCGGAGCUAAUACCGGAUAAUAUAUUGAACCGCAUGGUGCAAUAGUGAAAGACGGCUUUGCUGUCACUUAUAGAUGGAUCCGCGCCGCAUUAGCUAGUUGGUAAGGUAACGGCUUACCAAGGCAACGAUGCGUAGCCGACCUGAGAGGGUGAUCGGCCACACUGGAACUGAGACACGGUCCAGACUCCUACGGGAGGCAGCAGUAGGGAAUCUUCCGCAAUGGGCGAAAGCCUGACGGAGCAACGCCGCGUGAGUGAUGAAGGUCUUCGGAUCGUAAAACUCUGUUAUUAGGGAAGAACAAAUGUGUAAGUAACUAUGCACGUCUUGACGGUACCUAAUCAGAAAGCCACGGCUAACUACGUG